CCUACGGGGGGCAGCAGUGAGGAAUAUUGGUCAAUGGACGAGAGUCUGAACCAGCCAAGUAGCGUGAAGGAUGACUGCCCUAUGGGUUGUAAACUUCUUUUAUAUGGGAAUAAAAUGUUCCACGUGUGGGAUUUUGUAUGUACCAUAUGAAUAAGGAUCGGCUAACUCCGUGCCAGCAGCCGCGGUAAUACGGAGGAUCCGAGCGUUAUCCGGAUUUAUUGGGUUUAAAGGGAGCGUAGGUGGAUUGUUAAGUCAGUUGUGAAAGUUUGCGGCUCAACCGUAAAAUUGCAGUUGAGACUGGCAGUCUUGAGUACAGUAGAGGUGGGCGGAAUUCGUGGUGUAGCGGUGAAAUGCUUAGAUAUCACGAAGAACUCCGAUUGCGAAGGCAGUUCACUGAACUGCAACUGACACUGAGGCUCGAAAGUGUGGGUAUCAAACAGGAUUAGAUACCCUUGUAGUC
This 460-nucleotide ribosomal RNA is filed under the name uncultured bacterium. Its description in RNAcentral is "partial 16S ribosomal RNA". It matches the Rfam family "Bacterial small subunit ribosomal RNA", at positions 338 to 795 of the family's 1533-position model. The record is from RNAcentral.